This 108-nucleotide small nuclear RNA is filed under the name Dasypus novemcinctus (nine-banded armadillo). Lineage: Eukaryota; Metazoa; Chordata; Mammalia; Cingulata; Dasypodidae. The record is from RNAcentral.
GUGCUCACUUCAGCAGUGCAUAUACUAAAAUCAGAAUGAUACAGAAAAGAUUAGCAUGGCCCCUGCACAAGGAUGACAUGCAAAAUUUGUGAAGCAUUCCAAAAUUUG